RNAcentral lists this ribosomal RNA (1021 nucleotides) under Aliquandostipite khaoyaiensis. RNAcentral's name for it is "SSU rRNA". It matches the Rfam family "Eukaryotic small subunit ribosomal RNA", at positions 87 to 1115 of the family's 1831-position model. The record is from RNAcentral. Lineage: Eukaryota; Fungi; Ascomycota; Dothideomycetes; Jahnulales; Aliquandostipitaceae.
CUGCGAAUGGCUCAUUAAAUCAGUUAUCGUUUAUUUGAUAGUACCUUACUACACGGAUAUCUGUGGUAAUUCUAGAGUUAAUACGUGCUAAAAACCUCGACUUCGGAAGGGGUGUAUUUAUUAGACUAAAAACCAAUGCCCUUCGGGGCUCCUUGGUGAUUCAUAAUAACUCAACGAAUCGCAUGGCCUUGCGCCGGCGAUGGUUCAUUCAAAUUUCUGCCCUAUCAACUUUCGAUGCUAGGGUAGUGGCCUAGCAUGGUUACAACGGGUAACGGGGGAUUAGGGUUCUAUUCCGGAGAGGGAGCCUGAGAAACGGCUACCACAUCCAAGGAAGGCAGCAGGCGCGCAAAUUACCCAAUCCCGACACGGGGAGGUAGUGACAAUAAAUACUGAUACAGGGCUCUUUUGGGUCUUGUAAUUGGAAUGAGUACGAUUUAAACACCCUAACGAGGAACAAUUGGAGGGCAAGUCUGGUGCCAGCAGCCGCGGUAAUUCCAGCUCCAAUAGCGUAUAUUAAAGUUGUUGCAGUUAAAACGCUCGUCGUUGAACCUUGGGCCUGGGCGACCGGUCUCCCUCACCGGAUGCACUGGUUCGGCCGGGCCUUUCCUUCUGGGGAAUCGCAUGCCCUUCGCUGGGCGUGUCGAGGAUCCAGGACUUUUACUUUGAAAAAAUUAGAGUGUUCAAAGCAGGCCUUUGCUCGAAUACCUUAGCAUGGAAUAAUAGAAUAGGACGUGCGGUCCUAUUUUGUUGGUUUCUAGGACCGCCGUAAUGAUUAAUAGGGUCAGUUGGGGGCAUCAGUAUUCAAUUGUCAGAGGUGAAAUUCUUAGAUUUAUUGAAGACUAACUACUGCGAAAGCAUUUGCCAAAGAUGUUUUCAUUAAUCAGUGAACGAAAGUUAGGGGAUCGAAGACGAUCAGAUACCGUCGUAGUCCUAACCAUAAACUAUGCCGACUAGGGAUCGGGAAGAGGUUAUCAUUUUGACUCGCUCGGCACCUUACGAGAAAUCAAAGUGUUUGGGUUCU